This 493-nucleotide ribosomal RNA is filed under the name uncultured bacterium. RNAcentral's name for it is "partial 16S ribosomal RNA". It matches the Rfam family "Bacterial small subunit ribosomal RNA", at positions 29 to 508 of the family's 1533-position model. The record is from RNAcentral.
AGUGAACGCUGGCGGUAGGCCUAACACAUGCAAGUCGAACGGCAGCACAGUAAGAGCUUGCUCUUACGGGUGGCGAGUGGCGGACGGGUGAGGAAUACAUCGGAAUCUACUUUUUCGUGGGGGAUAACGUAGGGAAACUUACGCUAAUACCGCAUACGACCUACGGGUGAAAGCAGGAGAUCUUCGGACCUUGCGCGAUCGAAUGAGCCGAUGUCGGAUUAGCUAGUUGGCGGGGUAAAGGACCACCAAGGCGACGAUCCGUAACUGGUCUGAGAGGAUGAUCAGCCAAAAUUGGAAUUGGGAACGGGCCAGGCUCCUACGGGAGGCAGCAGUGGGGAAUAUUGGACAAUGGGCGCAAGGCUGAUCCAGCCAUACCGCGUGGGGGAAGAAGGCCUUCGGGUUGUAAAGCCCUUUUGUUGGGAAAGAAAAGCAGCAGGUUAAUACCCCGCUGUUCUGACGGUACCCAAAGAAUAAGCACCGGCUAACUUCGUGC